RNAcentral lists this ribosomal RNA (492 nucleotides) under uncultured bacterium. RNAcentral's name for it is "partial 16S ribosomal RNA". It matches the Rfam family "Bacterial small subunit ribosomal RNA", at positions 29 to 507 of the family's 1533-position model. The record is from RNAcentral.
AGUGAACGCUGGCGGUAGGCCUAACACAUGCAAGUCGAACGGCAGCACAGUAAGAGCUUGCUCUUACGGGUGGCGAGUGGCGGACGGGUGAGGAAUACAUCGGAAUCUACUUUUUCGUGGGGGAUAACGUAGGGAAACUUACGCUAAUACCGCAUACGACCUACGGGUGAAAGCAGGGGAUCUUCGGACCUUGCGCGAUCGAAUGAGCCGAUGUCGGAUUAGCUAGUUGGCGGGGUAAAGGCCCACCAAGGCGACGAUCCGUAGCUGGUCUGAGAGGAUGAUCAGCCACACUGGAACUGAGACACGGUCCAGACUCCUACGGGAGGCAGCAGUGGGGAAUAUUGGACAAAGGGCGCAAGCCUGAUCCAGCCAUACCGCGUGGGUGAAGAAGGCCUUCGGGUUGUAAAGCCCUUUUGUUGGGAAAGAAAAGCAGCAGGUUAAUACCCCGCUGUUCUGACGGUACCCAAAGAACAAGCACCGGCUAACUUCGUG